AUUGAACGCUGGCGGCAUGCUUUACACAUGCAAGUCGAACGGCAGCGCGGGCUUCGGCCUGGCGGCGAGUGGCGAACGGGUGAGUAAUGCAUCGGAACGUGCCCAGUAGUGGGGGAUAGCCCGGCGAAAGCCGGAUUAAUACCGCAUACGACCUGAGGGUGAAAGCGGGGGACCGAAAGGCCUCGCGCUAUUGGAGCGGCCGAUGUCGGAUUAGCUAGUUGGUGGGGUAAAGGCUUACCAAGGCGACCAUCCGUAGCUGGUCUGAGAGGACGACCAGCCACACUGGGACUGAGACACGGCCCAGACUCCUACGGGAGGCAGCAGUGGGGAAUUUUGGACAAUGGGGGCAACCCUGAUCCAGCCAUGCCGCGUGCGGGAAGAAGGCCUUCGGGUUGUAAACCGCUUUUGUUCGGGAAGAAAUCCUCUGGGCUAAUACCCCGGGGGGAUGACGGUACCGGAAGAAUAAGCACCGGCUAACUACGUG
Molecule: ribosomal RNA, 484 nt
Filed under: uncultured bacterium
Lineage: Bacteria
Description: partial 16S ribosomal RNA
Rfam family: Bacterial small subunit ribosomal RNA
Source: RNAcentral